GCCCGGCUAGCUCAAUCGGUAGAGCGUGAGACUCUUAANGAUUCUCCNNAAAUUAAUCUCAAGGUUGUGGGUUCGACCCCCACGUCGGGCU
Madurella mycetomatis is the source of this 91-nucleotide transfer RNA. It matches the Rfam family "tRNA". Rfam says of the family: Transfer RNA (tRNA) molecules are approximately 80 nucleotides in length. Their secondary structure includes four short double-helical elements and three loops (D, anti-codon, and T loops). Further hydrogen bonds mediate the characteristic L-shaped molecular structure. tRNAs have two regions of fundamental functional importance: the anti-codon, which is responsible for specific mRNA codon recognition, and the 3' end, to which the tRNAs corresponding amino acid is attached (by aminoacyl-tRNA synthetases). tRNAs cope with the degeneracy of the genetic code in two manners: having more than one tRNA (with a specific anti-codon) for a particular amino acid; and 'wobble' base-pairing, i.e. permitting non-standard base-pairing at the 3rd anti-codon position. NCBI's taxonomy places the organism in Eukaryota, Fungi, Ascomycota, Sordariomycetes, Sordariales. The record is from Rfam.